GCCGAGCAUGGUGGCACAUGCUUGUAAUCCCAGCUACUUGGGAGGCUGAGGCAGGAGAAUCACUUGAACCCAGGAGGUGAAGUUUGCAGUGAGCCAAGAUCAUGGCCACUGCACCAGAGCCUGGGCAACAUAGUGAGACUCUGUCUCAA
Gorilla gorilla gorilla (western lowland gorilla) is the source of this 149-nucleotide non-coding RNA. It matches the Rfam family "Metazoan signal recognition particle RNA". Rfam says of the family: The signal recognition particle (SRP) is a universally conserved ribonucleoprotein. It is involved in the co-translational targeting of proteins to membranes. NCBI's taxonomy places the organism in Eukaryota, Metazoa, Chordata, Mammalia, Primates, Hominidae. The record is from Rfam.